RNAcentral lists this ribosomal RNA (374 nucleotides) under uncultured organism. RNAcentral describes it as "bacterial SSU rRNA". It matches the Rfam family "Bacterial small subunit ribosomal RNA", at positions 526 to 896 of the family's 1533-position model. The record is from RNAcentral.
CGGGGGGAGCAAGCGUUGUUCGGAUUUACUGGGCGUAAAGGGCGCGUAGGCGGCCACCGCAAGUCGGCUGUGAAAUCUCUGGGCUUAACCCAGAACGGUCAGCCGAUACUGCGGGGCUAGAGUGCAGAAGGGGCAACUGGAAUUCUCGGUGUAGCGGUGAAAUGCGUAGAUAUCGAGAGGAACACCUGCGGCGAAGGCGGGUUGCUGGGCUGACACUGACGCUGAGGCGCGAAAGCUAGGGGAGCGAACGGGAUUAGAUACCCCGGUAGUCCUAGCCUUAAACGAUGAAUGCUUGGUGUCUGGGGUUUUAUAGUCCCCGGGUGCCGUCGCUAACGCUUUAAGCAUUCCGCCUGGGGAGUACGGUCGCAAGACUG